This 482-nucleotide ribosomal RNA is filed under the name uncultured bacterium. Its description in RNAcentral is "partial 16S ribosomal RNA". It matches the Rfam family "Bacterial small subunit ribosomal RNA", at positions 28 to 523 of the family's 1533-position model. The record is from RNAcentral.
GACGAACGCUGGCGGCGUGCUUAACACAUGCAAGUCGAACGAUGAAACCUAGCUUGCUAGGUCGAUUGGUGGCGAACGGGUGAGUAACACGUGACUAACCUGCCCCUUUCUCUGGGAUAACGCUCCGAAAGGAGUGCUAAUACCGGAUACUCACACCGAGGCACAUGCCUUGGUGUGGAAAGUUUUUCGGAAAGGGAUGGAGUCGCGGCCUAUCAGCUUGUUGGUGAGGUAACGGCUCACCAAGGCGACGACGGGUAGCCGGCCUGAGAGGGGGGCCGGCCACACUGGGACUGAGACACGGCCCAGACUCCUACGGGAGGCAGCAGUGGGGAAUAUUGCACAAUGGGCGCAAGCCUGAUGCAGCGACGCCGCGUGAGGGAUGAAGGUCUUCGGAUUGUAAACCUCUUUCAGUAGGGACGAAGCGAAAGUGACGGUACCUAAAGAAGAAGCACCGGCUAACUACGUGCCAGCAGCCGCCGUAA